GGGAAUGUAGUCAAGUGGUAAGGCAAAGAUAAAAAUUUAAAUGUAGGUUCAAAUCCUGCCAUUCCCA
RNAcentral lists this transfer RNA (67 nucleotides) under Fusobacterium varium. RNAcentral describes it as "tRNA-OTHER". It matches the Rfam family "tRNA". From Rfam's summary of the family: Transfer RNA (tRNA) molecules are approximately 80 nucleotides in length. Their secondary structure includes four short double-helical elements and three loops (D, anti-codon, and T loops). RNAcentral also lists the same sequence under 4 other names. The record is from RNAcentral. Lineage: Bacteria; Fusobacteriati; Fusobacteriota; Fusobacteriia; Fusobacteriales; Fusobacteriaceae.